This is a non-coding RNA of Podarcis lilfordi (Lilford's wall lizard), 71 nucleotides long. Lineage: Eukaryota; Metazoa; Chordata; Lepidosauria; Squamata; Lacertidae. The record is from the annotation of a GenBank genome assembly.
GGGCAAUGUCUCACUGGGAGAGCAUCUGUUUUGUGUGCAGAAGGUCCCAGGUCCAAGCCCUGCCAUCUCCA